AAUGUACUCCCUCCGUCCCGAAAUACUUGUCAGAGAGAUGGAUAAAAUUGGAUGUAUCUAUAUCUAAAGUACGUCUAGAUUCAUCCAUUUCUCUGACAAGUAUUUUCGGACGGAGGGAGUAUGUA
Molecule: non-coding RNA, 125 nt
Organism: Triticum urartu
Lineage: Eukaryota; Viridiplantae; Streptophyta; Magnoliopsida; Poales; Poaceae
Source: Rfam